Molecule: ribosomal RNA, 451 nt
Filed under: uncultured bacterium
Lineage: Bacteria
Description: partial 16S ribosomal RNA
Rfam family: Bacterial small subunit ribosomal RNA
Source: RNAcentral
AGCGAACGCUGGCGGCAGGCUUAACACAUGCAAGUCGAGCGGGCAUAGCAAUAUGUCAGCGGCAGACGGGUGAGUAACGCGUGGGAACGUACCUUUUGGUUCGGAACAACACAGGGAAACUUGUGCUAAUACCGGAUAAGCCCUUACGGGGAAAGAUUUAUCGCCGAAAGAUCGGCCCGCGUCUGAUUAGCUAGUUGGUGAGGUAAUGGCUCACCAAGGCGACGAUCAGUAGCUGGUCUGAGAGGAUGAUCAGCCACAUUGGGACUGAGACACGGCCCAAACUCCUACGGGAGGCAGCAGUGGGGAAUAUUGGACAAUGGGCGCAAGCCUGAUCCAGCCAUGCCGCGUGAGUGAUGAAGGCCCUAGGGUUGUAAAGCUCUUUUGUGCGGGAAGAUAAUGACGGUACCGGAGGAAUAAGCCCCGGCUAACUUCGUGCCAGCCGCCGCAGUAA